Phragmites australis (common reed) is the source of this 521-nucleotide long non-coding RNA. RefSeq lists it as uncharacterized. Lineage: Eukaryota; Viridiplantae; Streptophyta; Magnoliopsida; Poales; Poaceae. The record is from RefSeq and is a predicted model, not a curated record. The transcript has 2 exons.
CUAUUUCUUCAAUACUCUACCCCGUCGUUUACAAACAGUGUGUCGAUGCUUGUAGGAAUACUUUUUUAGCCCCUAAACUAACACUACAUGAUUAUUAUAUGAAGUACAUGAAGAAGAGGUGGCAUGGAACAAUAUUGAACCUGACGUGAAGAAGAUGAAAAAUUGUGUUGGCGGUACGAUUUGGCAAUCCGAAACUUUAGCAGCGUUGUGGGUGAUCCCGACAAGGAACUUUGGCGGAGGUGCGAUUCAGAGAUUCCGGCAACAAAAUUAAUCUGGCAGAGGUUACAACAAAUGCAUUUGUUAUAUUCUACUCUAGGGAGAGAGCCAAAGCCAAAGUUCUAAAGAUAUGCGAUGCUUUCAAUGCAAACUGUUACCCGUUUCUAGAAGAUGUUGCUAAACAAAUUCAUGCUGUUCAGGAGGUCAGCUCUUGAAAUACAGCGUUUGUUGAUAUUCUUGAUUUGAUUUCUUUGUGACACGUGAAACAAAAUUUCCUUUGCAACUGAUGUCCUUUUGGAACAACA